RNAcentral lists this ribosomal RNA (497 nucleotides) under uncultured bacterium. RNAcentral describes it as "partial 16S ribosomal RNA". It matches the Rfam family "Bacterial small subunit ribosomal RNA", at positions 28 to 507 of the family's 1533-position model. The record is from RNAcentral.
GAUGAACGCUGGCGGCGUGACUAAUACAUGCAAGUCGAGCGAACGGACGAGAAGCUUGCUUCUCUGAUGUUAGCGGCGGACGGGUGAGUAACACGUGGAUAACCUACCUAUAAGACUGGGAUAACUUCGGGAAACCGGAGCUAAUACCGGAUGAUAUUUUGAACCGCAUGGUUCAAAAGUGAAAGACGGUCUUGCUGUCACUUAUAGAUGGAUCCGCGCUGCAUUAGCUAGUUGGUAAGGUAACGGCUUACCAAGGCAACGAUGCAUAGCCGACCUGAGAGGGUGAUCGGCCACACUGGAACUGAGACACGGUCCAGACUCCUACGGGAGGCAGCAGUAGGGAAUCUUCCGCAAUGGGCGAAAGCCUGACGGAGCAACGCCGCGUGAGUGAUGAAGGUCUUCGGAUCGUAAAACUCUGUUAUUAGGGAAGAACAUAUGUGUAAGUAACUGUGCACAUCUUGACGGUACCUAAUCAGAAAGCCACGGCUAACUACGUG